CCUACGGGUGGCAGCAGUGAGGAAUAUUGGUCAAUGGGCGGAAGCCUGAACCAGCCAAGUAGCGUGCGGGAUGAAGGCCCUACGGGUCGUAAACCGCUUUUGCACGGGGAUAACACCCUCCACUUGUGGAGGUCUGCAGGUACCGUGCGAAUAAGGGCCGGCUAAUGCCGUGCCAGCAGCCGCGGUAAUACGGAAGGCCCGAGCGUUAUCCGGAUUUAUUGGGUUUAAAGGGUGCGCAGGGGGAGGUGCAAGUCAGCGGUCAAAUUGCGGGGCUCAACCCCGUAGUGCCGUUGAAACUGGAUGCCUUGAGUGCGCGAGAAGUGUGCGGAAUGCGUGGUGUAGCGGUGAAAUGCAUAGAUAUCACGCAGAACUCCGAUUGCGAAGGCAGCAUACCGGCGCGCAACUGACGCUCAUGCACGAAAGCGUGGGUAUCGAACAGGAUUAGAUACCCUGGUAGUC
This 459-nucleotide ribosomal RNA is filed under the name uncultured bacterium. Its description in RNAcentral is "partial 16S ribosomal RNA". It matches the Rfam family "Bacterial small subunit ribosomal RNA", at positions 338 to 795 of the family's 1533-position model. The record is from RNAcentral.